Triticum dicoccoides is the source of this 240-nucleotide long non-coding RNA. RefSeq lists it as uncharacterized. The record is from RefSeq and is a predicted model, not a curated record. The transcript is spliced from 3 exons. NCBI's taxonomy places the organism in Eukaryota, Viridiplantae, Streptophyta, Magnoliopsida, Poales, Poaceae.
UGCCAUUCCUCGUCUGAAAACAAAUCAAUUGAAGUGGAGCUUCACAGGCACAUUUGAAGCAAGACAAUCACUCAUAGUUAGAGGCCUCUUUCCCAUGCUUGCUGAUCCACGUCACCCGGCUGAAUCUACUAGCACUACAAAUGAAUCAGUGUUGAAGGCUACUCUUACCUUAGCCAGAAUUUCUAUAAGAAUGUUGCUCAUGUUACAUGCCUUCCUUUCUCUAGUAAGUAGAACAAGAAU